GAUGAACGAUGGCGGCGUGCCUAAUACAUGCAAGUCGAGCGAACAGACGAGGAGCUUGCUCCUCUGACGUUAGCGGCGGACGGGUGAGUAACACGUGGAUAACCUACCUAUAAGACUGGGAUAACUUCGGGAAACCGGAGCUAAUACCGGAUAAUAUAUUGAACCGCAUGGUUCAAUAGUGAAAGACGGUUUUGCUGUCACUUAUAGAUGGAUCCGCGCCGCAUUAGCUAGUUGGUAAGGUAACGGCUUACCAAGGCAACGAUGCGUAGCCGACCUGAGAGGGUGAUCGGCCACACUGGAACUGAGACACGGUCCAGACUCCUACGGGAGGCAGCAGUAGGGAAUCUUCCGCAAUGGGCGAAAGCCUGACGGAGCAACGCCGCGUGAGUGAUGAAGGUCUUCGGAUCGUAAAACUCUGUUAUUAGGGAAGAACAAAUGUGUAAGUAACUAUGCACGUCUUGACGGUACCUAAUCAGAAAGCCACGGCUAACUACGU
Molecule: ribosomal RNA, 496 nt
Filed under: uncultured bacterium
Lineage: Bacteria
Description: partial 16S ribosomal RNA
Rfam family: Bacterial small subunit ribosomal RNA
Source: RNAcentral